RNAcentral lists this ribosomal RNA (253 nucleotides) under uncultured bacterium. Its description in RNAcentral is "partial 16S ribosomal RNA". It matches the Rfam family "Bacterial small subunit ribosomal RNA", at positions 524 to 776 of the family's 1533-position model. The record is from RNAcentral.
UACGGAGGGUGCAAGCGUUGUUCGGAAUUAUUGGGCGUAAAGGGCAGGUAGGUUGUCUCAUAAGUCCACUGUGAAAUCCCCGGGCUUAACUCGGGAAGUGCGGUGGAUACUGUAAGACUAGAGUGCUAUAGGGGUACGCGGAAUUCCCGGUGUAGCGGUGAAAUGCGUAGAGAUCGGGAGGAACACCAGAGGCGAAGGCGGCGUACUGGAGAGCAACUGACACUCAACUGCGAAAGCGUGGGGAGCAAACAGG